GACGAACGCUGGCGGCGUGCUUAACACAUGCAAGUCGAACGGAAAGGCCCUGCUUGCAGGGUACUCGAGUGGCGAACGGGUGAGUAACACGUGGGUGAUCUGCCCUGCACUUCGGGAUAAGCCUGGGAAACGGGGUCUAAUACCGGAUAGGAGCCAUUUUUAGUGUGAUUGUUGGAAAGUUUUUUCGGUGUAGGAUGAGCUCGCGGCCUAUCAGCUUGUUGGUGGGGUAAUGGCCUACCAAGGCGGCGACGGGUAGCCGGCCUGAGAGGGUGGACGGCCACAUUGGGACUGAGAUACGGCCCAGACUCCUACGGGAGGCAGCAGUGGGGAAUAUUGCACAAUGGGCGCAAGCCUGAUGCAGCGACGCCGCGUGGGGGAUGACGGCCUUCGGGUUGUAAACUCCUUUCGCUAGGGACGAAGCUUUUUGUGACGGUACCUAGAUAAGAAGCACCGGCUAACUACGUG
This 465-nucleotide ribosomal RNA is filed under the name uncultured bacterium. RNAcentral's name for it is "partial 16S ribosomal RNA". It matches the Rfam family "Bacterial small subunit ribosomal RNA", at positions 28 to 507 of the family's 1533-position model. The record is from RNAcentral.